Molecule: ribosomal RNA, 452 nt
Filed under: Clupea harengus (Atlantic herring)
Lineage: Eukaryota; Metazoa; Chordata; Actinopteri; Clupeiformes; Clupeidae
Description: partial 16S ribosomal RNA
Rfam family: Bacterial large subunit ribosomal RNA
Source: RNAcentral
UGAAGACCUGUAUGAAUGGCAUAACGAGGGUUUAACUGUCUCUUUCUCCUGGUCAGUGAAACUGAUCUACCCGUGCAGAAGCGGGUAUGAAUAUACAAGACGAGAAGACCCUAUGGAGCUUUAGACGCCCACCAAUCACGAAAAGCAGGUCUCGCUCAACAGACUUCCAAACAACGUGAUACUGGCACAAACGUCUUCGGUUGGGGCGACCGCGGGAGAGAAAAAAGCUCCCGAGAGGAUUGGGGCUACCCUAAAACCAAGAGCUACACCUCUAAGUCACAAAACAUUUGACCAAAAAUGAUCCGGCUACAUGCCGAUUAACGAACCAAGUUACCCUAGGGAUAACAGCGCAAUCCCUUCCCAGAGUCCAUAUCGACGAAGGGGUUUACGACCUCGAUGUUGGAUCAGGACAUCCUAAUGGUGCAGCCGCUAUUAAGGGUUCGUUUGUUCAA